This 253-nucleotide ribosomal RNA is filed under the name uncultured bacterium. RNAcentral's name for it is "partial 16S ribosomal RNA". It matches the Rfam family "Bacterial small subunit ribosomal RNA", at positions 524 to 776 of the family's 1533-position model. The record is from RNAcentral.
GACGGAGGGCGCGAGCGUUGUCCGGAAUCAUUGGGCGUAAAGCGCGUGUAGGCGGUUCGGUAAGUCCGCUGUGAAAGUCGGGGGCUCAACCCUCGGAUGCCGGUGGAUACUGUCGGACUAGAGUACGGAAGAGGCGAGUGGAAUUCCUGGUGUAGCGGUGAAAUGCGCAGAUAUCAGGAGGAACACCGAUUGCGAAGGCAGCUCGCUGGGACGUUACUGACGCUGAGACGCGAAAGCGUGGGGAGCAAACAGG